RNAcentral lists this ribosomal RNA (253 nucleotides) under uncultured bacterium. RNAcentral describes it as "partial 16S ribosomal RNA". It matches the Rfam family "Bacterial small subunit ribosomal RNA", at positions 524 to 776 of the family's 1533-position model. The record is from RNAcentral.
UACGAAGGGGGCUAGCGUUGUUCGGAAUCACUGGGCGUAAAGCGUACGUAGGCGGAUCGUUAAGUCAGAGGUGAAAUCCCGGAGCUCAACUUCGGAAUUGCCUUUGAUACUGGCGAUCUUGAGUUCGGGAGAGGUGAGUGGAACUGCUAGUGUAGAGGUGAAAUUCGUAGAUAUUAGCAAGAACACCAGUGGCGAAGGCGGCUCACUGGCCCGAUACUGACGCUGAGGUACGAAAGCGUGGGGAGCAAACAGG